Small nucleolar RNA from Neogale vison (American mink), 209 nucleotides. Its record names the gene U3. It matches the Rfam family "Small nucleolar RNA U3". From Rfam's summary of the family: Small nucleolar RNAs (snoRNAs) are involved in the processing and modification of rRNA in the nucleolus. There are two main classes of snoRNAs: the box C/D class, and the box H/ACA class. U3 snoRNA is a member of the box C/D class. NCBI's taxonomy places the organism in Eukaryota, Metazoa, Chordata, Mammalia, Carnivora, Mustelidae. The record is from Ensembl.
AAGACUAUACUAUUAGGGAUCGUUUCUAUAAUUUGCUACUAGAGAAGGUUCUCUAAUCAUGUCAAGAACCCAAAACCAUAAGGCGGAAGUGCAGUGUUCUCUUCUGAGCAUGAAGCUGGCUCUAAGUGUUGUUUUUGGCACUGCCUCUGCCUUCAUAAUGGUUCUUCUCCUUUGGGGCAGUAAGAGGGAGAGGACAUACUCUGAGUGGU